RNAcentral lists this non-coding RNA (45 nucleotides) under Schistosoma mansoni. The record is from RNAcentral. Lineage: Eukaryota; Metazoa; Platyhelminthes; Trematoda; Strigeidida; Schistosomatidae.
AUCCAACUGACGAAUCCGAAAUAGGACAAAACGCGCGUCCUGAAU